This 253-nucleotide ribosomal RNA is filed under the name uncultured bacterium. RNAcentral's name for it is "partial 16S ribosomal RNA". It matches the Rfam family "Bacterial small subunit ribosomal RNA", at positions 524 to 776 of the family's 1533-position model. The record is from RNAcentral.
UACGGAGGGUGCAAGCGUUAUCCGGAUUUACUGGGUUUAAAGGGUGCGUAGGCGGGCCUUUAAGUCAGUGGUGAAAGCUCCGAGCUUAACUCGGAAACUGCCAUUGAUACUAUUGGUCUUGAAUUCGGUCGAGGUUGGCGGAAUGUGUCGUGUAGCGGUGAAAUGCUUAGAGAUGUGGAGGAAUACCGAUGGCGAAGGCAGCCUCCUGGGCCAACACUGACGCUCAUGCACGAAAGCGUGGGGAGCAAACAGG